Molecule: ribosomal RNA, 497 nt
Filed under: uncultured bacterium
Lineage: Bacteria
Description: partial 16S ribosomal RNA
Rfam family: Bacterial small subunit ribosomal RNA
Source: RNAcentral
GAUGAACGCUGGCGGCGUGCCUAAUACAUGCAAGUCGAGCGAACGGACGAGAAGCUUGCUUCUCUGAUGUUAGCGGCGGACGGGUGAGUAACACGUGGAUAACCUACCUAUAAGACUGGGAUAACUUCGGGAAACCGGAGCUAAUACCGGAUGAUAUUUUGACCCGCAUGGUUCAAAAGUGAAAGACGGUCUUGCUGUCACUUAUAGAUGGAUCCGCGCUGCAUUAGCUAGUUGGUAAGGUAACGGCUUACCAAGGCAACGAUGCAUAACCGACCUGAGAGGGUGAUCGGCGACACUGGAACUGAGACACGGUCCAGACUCCUACGGGAGGCAGCAGUAGGGAAUCUUCCGCAAUGGGCGAAAGCCUGACGGAGCAACGCCGCGUGAGUGAUGAAGGUCUUCGGAUCGUAAAACUCUGUUAUUAUGGAAGAACAUAUGUGUAAGUAACUGUGCACAUCUUGACGGUACCUAAUCAGAAAGCCACGGCUAACUACGUG